Magnolia sinica is the source of this 107-nucleotide small nucleolar RNA. NCBI's taxonomy places the organism in Eukaryota, Viridiplantae, Streptophyta, Magnoliopsida, Magnoliales, Magnoliaceae. The record is from RefSeq and is a predicted model, not a curated record.
AAACUGUGUUGUGGGCAUGAACUGACAAGAUCCUUGAACCUUUCCCAAUAUUGAAAGAAUGUUUCAUCCUCCUUUUAGGUGAAGUUCAUGAUUGACUUUCUAAGGGU